UUUUGAAAAGGGAAAAAAAAACCCAAACUGGCUAGCACUAUACUAACUGAUGUCAAGGUUUGCAUUUUUAGCAGUCUCUUUUUUUUUCCACGGGUAUACGAAGGCUGAUGCUAUAUAGUUGAAUCAAGUGCCCUCUGAUGUGACACACGAGCAGUAAUCCCGGGUCGCUCGGAGGUCUGGUUCAUGUUGCCGUCUGGGAUGGUCCCCAUGCCGGUGAAGAGCUGGAUUAGGCAUUUCCUGAACUGGGCAGAAAACAAUCAGGUUCACAGGUGGUCCCGAUCCGGCUCACGGUGUAUCUGUUCCAGCCCAGCACUGGGGGGAAGGUCCAGAUGAAGGAGAAGGUCCAGACGAACAGCAGACCCAGGAUCGCAUGCCUGGCCUGCAGUCGGAUGUUCCCCAGGGGCCGGCAGAUCACGAAAAACCGCUCGAAGGACAGAACGGCCAGUGACCACAGGGCUACGAUGCCUGAGGCGGACAGCAGGAGGAGCUGCUGUACAGUCUGAUGGCCAGGGGGGCGAAAGAGUUUUUCAGUCUGUUGGUGGAGCUGGACUGGGACAGCAGCAAAUGAUGCGUUAAGGGGACUUGACUUGGACCUCGGCAUUUCAAAAACCUAUAGCGACAGCUCUGCUGUUCAUUUCACAUGUGAUGCAGAGUGACAUCAUUCAUUUAAACUCCAGGUGCAGCUCACCGGUCCACAGGAUGUCACUUUGAAUGACAGCACAGACGGACCGGUUAACGCUCAGAUUUUUGUAGCAACGGGCCUCAACUAUUUUUCUUGAAUCCGAAAGUUUGGGUGGACUCGGAGGAGACCUGACUCAGCUCAGCCACUGCAGAUGAACCACGGACGGUCGUCCAAAUCCAGUUCGCUCCGGCCCCCUCUGAUUUCCCUCCCUUUGAAUGAACACCUAUUGAGUCGGCGGUCCUAUGUGAAGCCCAGAUGACCUAUGACAGAGUGUCAGUAUCAUUCCUGCACCUUCAACCCCAGUUAAUUUCUUCCACUCUGUGGACCUUUUAUAGAUCAAACAGCCUCGGCACCGACUGUGUGUGUGUCUGGUCUGGGAAGGGUGGAGGUGACAGAAUAAGACUUUGUUGACUUGUUUUGAUGACACUCAUCCUGGGACCUUUCACAAUAUGCCAGUCGGACGAAUGACAUUACACGUUUCUCUCUCCCAGUUUAUUUGCCUCCUCCCUUAUCAGCCACAUGAGAGGCCCAGACAACCUCCCAUCAGGAGAUGACUGAUAAUUGUCUGCGCCUUUCCAGGAAAAUGCAGGAUUUCACUAAUAUCUAGUGACUUCAUUUUGAAGUCAGGGCAGAGCCGGUCAGUGAGAGGUGAGACCACUGAUAAGAGCGACGUUAGCUCCCCGUGUGGCUGCUUGGAGAACAUCUCAGCGGAGCUAAAUGAGCAUGGCCUCAAGGGAGGAGUGUGAUGGAGCAGCUGGCCGUCCGUUGGGACCUUCAGCACUGCUGGAAACCCAGACUGGAUGCCCCUGAUGCAUGUCUCAGGCCACAGACACUUCUCAGAAAGUCAACCAGAUUUAUCUGCCCUCGCCCUCAUGCAUGUUUGUGUAUGUGUGUCUGUGCACGUGCUUGUGCACGCUUAUGUGCAAGUAGGAAUAUGUGGAUGUCUGCUUCCCGUGUGAACAUAUGGUGAACUUUGCAGGCAGCUUCAAAGCCUACAAAUGUCAGUCUGAUGCCAAUGUGCUGAAAAAAAGUGAUACUGAACAGAUUUUCCCCUUUGUCUUCCUUCAUGUUCUGGACAGAAUGAGCAUUGACUGUUUUAAAAAAAAAGAUGAAGCUGUUAUUCUCUGGAAUGACCAGCAGAGGGCGACUCCACUGGUUGGAAAAAGAAGUCCUUUUCUAUAGAAGAGAAAAUGACUCAAGUAAAUAGUAUAAUUAACAAAGCAUAUGAGAGAAAUUAAAUUAAAAAAUUGCAGUCGACUUUUGCCACAUUAACCCCACGUUCAUUUCUUCACAUAUUUUUUGUUGUUUACUGUCCAGUCAAGGAAAAAGUUGGACAGACAUCGAUGAAACUCCAAAUGAAAUCUUCCCCAGAUUAAUUAAAACAAAUCUUUAAAUCUAUCUUUAAAUCUAAAUUCUCUUCAAAAGCACGAAUGGGAUUGCAUUUAGAGCAGUGCAACUCCAAGGUGACAAGUUUCUGCCGGCCUUCAAUGAGGUGCGCUGCAAAUUUGAGAUAGAACACGAAUCACAUCAAGAGGGCAGCGGGGAAGGGCGAGGCAGGCGGAGGCGGCGCUCCAGAAGCGAGGCCGGCCUCAGCUGUUCGCCUGGAGACUCGAGAAGGCCGGCGAGAUGUUGAUCUGUCUACAUGCAAAAAAAACCCACAACCCCCCUCCCCUUCCUCAUCUCCCUGCGACCACAUGGGGACUUUAGGCAGACAUGAUGUUCUUCACUUCCUUCAUCUGUAAUUCACAAGAUGACCCACUUUGUGCACAUCCAGAUAAAUUAGGCCCAUACUUUCUAAUCAAAUGACCGAUAACUCCGAUAACCGUCUUAUGAUCUCGACCAGAUCAGUCAGUCAGCUGUUUUCCUUUGGGUGUCAACAAAAAGAGUGUUUAUCAAACGGUCCAGAUAUAGACUGGACACCAUAGACGGGCAGUUGUGCUUGAAAUUAGUUCUGUUGAAUCAUUUUUACUGGAUUUACACAAUUAGUGAAAUAAUAACAAAUAUACAACUGAUCAAUAUAAUAUCAAUUAUAUUGUUAAUG
Long non-coding RNA from Scophthalmus maximus (turbot), 2723 nucleotides. RefSeq lists it as uncharacterized. The transcript has 5 exons. The record is from RefSeq and is a predicted model, not a curated record. NCBI's taxonomy places the organism in Eukaryota, Metazoa, Chordata, Actinopteri, Pleuronectiformes, Scophthalmidae.